Molecule: ribosomal RNA, 499 nt
Filed under: uncultured bacterium
Lineage: Bacteria
Description: partial 16S ribosomal RNA
Rfam family: Bacterial small subunit ribosomal RNA
Source: RNAcentral
GACGAACGCUGGCGGCGUGCCUAAUACAUGCAAGUCGAGCGAAGUUUUUCUGGUGCUUGCACUAGAAAAACUUAGCGGCGAACGGGUGAGUAACACGUAAAGAACCUGCCUCAUAGACUGGGACAACUAUUGGAAACGAUAGCUAAUACCGGAUAACAGCAUUAACUGCAUGGUUGAUGUUUAAAAGUUGGUUUUGCUAACACUAUGAGAUGGCUUUGCGGUGCAUUAGCUAGUUGGUGGGGUAAAGGCCUACCAAGGCGACGAUGCAUAGCCGACCUGAGAGGGUAAUCGGCCACACUGGGACUGAGACACGGCCCAGACUCCUACGGGAGGCAGCAGUAGGGAAUCUUCCGCAAUGGGCGAAAGCCUGACGGAGCAACGCCGCGUGAGUGAAGAAGGAUUUCGGUUCGUAAAGCUCUGUUGUUAGGGAAGAAUGAUUGUGUAGUAACUAUACACAGUAGAGACGGUACCUAACCAGAAAGCCACGGCUAACUACGUG